GUGCCAGCAGCCGCGGUAAUACGAAGGGGGCUAGCGUUGUUCGGAAUUACUGGGCGUAAAGCGCACGUAGGCGGACUGAUAAGUCAGGGGUGAAAUCCCGGGGCUCAACCCCGGAACUGCCUUUGAUACUGUCAGUCUAGAGUUCGAGAGAGGUGAGUGGAAUUCCGAGUGUAGAGGUGAAAUUCGUAGAUAUUCGGAGGAACACCAGUGGCGAAGGCGGCUCACUGGCUCGAUACUGACGCUGAGGUGCGAAAGCGUGGGGAGCAAACAGGAUUAGAAACCCCCGUAGUCC
RNAcentral lists this ribosomal RNA (292 nucleotides) under uncultured bacterium. RNAcentral's name for it is "partial 16S ribosomal RNA". It matches the Rfam family "Bacterial small subunit ribosomal RNA", at positions 505 to 796 of the family's 1533-position model. The record is from RNAcentral.